This 800-nucleotide ribosomal RNA is filed under the name uncultured bacterium. Its description in RNAcentral is "bacterial SSU rRNA". It matches the Rfam family "Bacterial small subunit ribosomal RNA", at positions 95 to 902 of the family's 1533-position model. The record is from RNAcentral.
GCGGCGAAGGGAGAGUAAUGAGUGGAUUACCUACCCCCAGGACCGGGAUAGCUGUGGGAAACCGCAGGUAAUACCGGAUAAUAUCUCCGGAUCAAAUGGUGAGAUUCCGCCAGGGGAUGGGUCCGCUUCCUAUUAGCUUGUUGGUGGGGUAACGGCCUACCAAGGCAACAAUGGGUACCGGGUGUGAGAGCAUGGCCCGGCUCACUGGGACUGACACACUGCCCAGACACCUACGGGUGGCUGCAGUCGAGAAUCUUCCGCAAUGGGCGAAAGCCUGACGGAGCGACGCCGCGUGCGGGAUGAAGGCCUUCGGGUUGUAAACCGCUGUCAGUUGGGAGGAAAUCUAUGGGGGUUCUCCCCCAUAGUUGACCUAUCUUCAUAGGAAGGACGGGCUAAGUUCGUGCCAGCAGCCGCGGUAAGACGAACCGUCCAAACGUUAUUCGGAAUCACUGGGCUUAAAGGGUGCGUAUGCGGCUUGGCAAGUUGGGUGUGAAAUCCCUCGGCUCAACCGAGGAACUGCGCUCAAAACUGCCAAGCUAGAGGAAGAUAUAGGUGAGCGGAACUAAUGGUGGAGCGGUGAAAUGCGUUGAUAUCAUCAGGAACACCAGAGGCGAAGGCGGCUCACUGGGUCCUUUCUGACGCUGAGGGACGAAAGCUAGGGGAGCAAACGGGAUUAGAUACCCCGGUAGUCCUAGCUGUAAACGAUGAGCACUAGAUCGAGGGGACUUCCACAUCUUCUCGGUCGUAGCGAAAGUGUUAGUGCUCCGCCUGGGGGAGUAUGGUCGCAAGGGCUGAAACCU